This 300-nucleotide ribosomal RNA is filed under the name uncultured Bacillus sp. Its description in RNAcentral is "bacterial SSU rRNA". It matches the Rfam family "Bacterial small subunit ribosomal RNA", at positions 497 to 795 of the family's 1533-position model. Lineage: Bacteria; Bacillati; Bacillota; Bacilli; Caryophanales; Bacillaceae. The record is from RNAcentral.
UGAAGUGCGUGCCAGCGGCCGCGGGAAUACGAAGGGGGCUAGCGUUGUGCGGAAUUACUGGGCGGAAAGCCUAUGCAGGCGGAUCGUUAAGUCGGGGGUGAAAUCCCGAGGCUCAACCUCGGAACUGCCUUCGAUACUGGCGAUCUUCGAGUCCGGGAGAGGUGAGGGGAACUCCGAGUGUAGAGGUGAAAUUCGUAGAUAUUCGGAAGAACACCAGUGGCGAAGGCGGCUCACUGGCCCGGUACUGACGCUGAGAUACGAAAGCGUGGGGAGCAAACAGGAUUAGAUACCCCGGUAGUC